Osmia lignaria (orchard mason bee) is the source of this 164-nucleotide small nuclear RNA. RefSeq annotates it as U1 spliceosomal RNA. The record is from RefSeq and is a predicted model, not a curated record. NCBI's taxonomy places the organism in Eukaryota, Metazoa, Arthropoda, Insecta, Hymenoptera, Megachilidae.
UAACUUACUUGGCGCGGAGGACACCGUGAUCAGGAAGGCGGUUCCUUCUGGGCGAGGCCCUUCCAUUGCACUGCGGUGGGGCUGAACCUUGCGAAUACUCCUAAUGUGGGUAUGUCGAGCGCACAAUUUUUGGUAGUCGGGACCAGCGUUCGCGCUGUCCCGGA